GGGCCCAGUCACAGGUUGCUCUGACCCAGUCUGGUCCAGAACUGAAGAAACCCAGAGAAUCCCCUCGGUUGAAAUGCGCCGUGAGCAGGUUCACUAUCACCGACUAUUAUAUGGCUUGGGUCAGACAGGAGCCGGGAAAGGGGCUGGAGUGGCUGGUCAGCUACUGGAAACCAGGGAGCGAGUAUUAUUCUCCCACCAUCAAGGGGCGAUUCACAGCCUCCAAGGACAGCUCCAAUUUCUACCUGCAAAUGACCAGCCUGAGACCCGAGGACACCACCGUGUAUUACUGUGCCAGACACACA
This is a non-coding RNA of Terrapene triunguis (Three-toed box turtle), 302 nucleotides long. The record is from the annotation of a RefSeq genome assembly. Lineage: Eukaryota; Metazoa; Chordata; Testudines; Emydidae.